CCUACGGGUGGCAGCAGUGAGGAAUAUUGGUCAAUGGACGAGAGUCUGAACCAGCCAAGUAGCGUGAAGGAUGACUGCCCUAUGGGUUGUAAACUUCUUUUAUAUGGGAAUAAAACGUUCCACGUGUGGGAUUUUGUAUGUACCAUAUGAAUAAGGAUCGGCUAACUCCGUGCCAGCAGCCGCGGUAAUACGGAGGAUCCGAGCGUUAUCCGGAUUUAUUGGGUUUAAAGGGAGCGUAGGUGGAUUGUUAAGUCAGUUGUGAAAUGUUGCGGCUCAACCGUGAAAUUGCAGUUGAAACUGGUAGUCUAGAGUACAGUAGAGGUGGGCGGAAUGCGUGGUGUAGCGGUGAAAUGCUUAGAUAUCACGAAGAACUCCGAUUGCGAAGGCAGUUCACUGGACUGCAACUGACAUUGAGGCACGAAAGUGUGGGUAUCAAACAGGAUUAGAUACCCGGGUAGUC
RNAcentral lists this ribosomal RNA (460 nucleotides) under uncultured bacterium. Its description in RNAcentral is "partial 16S ribosomal RNA". It matches the Rfam family "Bacterial small subunit ribosomal RNA", at positions 338 to 795 of the family's 1533-position model. The record is from RNAcentral.